This 764-nucleotide ribosomal RNA is filed under the name Microbacterium sp. EE6(2012). Its description in RNAcentral is "bacterial SSU rRNA". It matches the Rfam family "Bacterial small subunit ribosomal RNA", at positions 678 to 1442 of the family's 1533-position model. The record is from RNAcentral. Lineage: Bacteria; Bacillati; Actinomycetota; Actinomycetes; Micrococcales; Microbacteriaceae.
CCUGUGGAAUGCGCAGAUAUCAGGAGGAACACCGUGGCGAAGGCAGAUCUCGGCCGUAACUGACGCUGAGGAGCGAAAGGGUGGGGAGCAAACAGGCUUAGAUACCCUGGUAGUCCACCCCGUAAACGUUGGGAACUAGUUGUGGGGUCCAUUCCACGGAUUCCGUGACGCAGCUAACGCAUUAAGUUCCCCGCCUGGGGAGUACGGCCGCAAGGCUAAAACUCAAAGGAAUUGACGGGGACCCGCACAAGCGGCGGAGCAUGCGGAUUAAUUCGAUGCAACGCGAAGAACCUUACCAAGGCUUGACAUAUACGAGAACGGGCCAGAAAUGGUCAACUCUUUGGACACUCGUAAACAGGUGGUGCAUGGUUGUCGUCAGCUCGUGUCGUGAGAUGUUGGGUUAAGUCCCGCAACGAGCGCAACCCUCGUUCUAUGUUGCCAGCACGUAAUGGUGGGAACUCAUGGGAUACUGCCGGGGUCAACUCGGAGGAAGGUGGGGAUGACGUCAAAUCAUCAUGCCCCUUAUGUCUUGGGCUUCACGCAUGCUACAAUGGCCGGUACAAAGGGCUGCAAUACCGCGAGGUGGAGCGAAUCCCAAAAAGCCGGUCCCAGUUCGGAUUGAGGUCUGCAACUCGACCUCAUGAAGUCGGAGUCGCUAGUAAUCGCAGAUCAGCAACGCUGCGGUGAAUACGUUCCCGGGUCUUGUACACACCGCCCGUCAAGUCAUGAAAGUCGGUAACACCUGAAGCCGGUGGCCUAACCCU